Molecule: ribosomal RNA, 451 nt
Filed under: uncultured bacterium
Lineage: Bacteria
Description: partial 16S ribosomal RNA
Rfam family: Bacterial small subunit ribosomal RNA
Source: RNAcentral
GUGGGGAAUAUUGGACAAUGGGGGGAACCCUGAUCCAGCCAUGCCGCGUGUGUGAAGAAGGCCUUUUGCUUGUCAAGCACUUUAAGCGAGGAGGAGGCUACCGAGAUUAAUACUCUUGGAUAGUGGACGUUACUCGCAGAAUAAGCACCGGCUAACUCUGUGCCAGCAGCCGCGGUAAUACAGAGGGUGCAAGCGUUAAUCGGAUUUACUGGGCGUAAAUCGCGCGCAGGUGGCCAAUUAAGUCAAAUGUGAAAUCCCCGAGCUUAACUGGGGAAGUGCAUUCGAUACUGGUUGGCUAGAGGAUGGGAGAGGAUGGUAGAAUUCCAGGUGUAGCGGUGAAAUGCGUAGAGAUCUGGAGGAAUACCGAUGGCGAAGGCAGCCAUCUGGCCUAAUACUGACACUGAGGUGCGAAAGCAUGGGGAGCAAACAGGAUUAGAAACCCCUGUAGUCC